This 380-nucleotide ribosomal RNA is filed under the name uncultured Alcaligenes sp. RNAcentral's name for it is "bacterial SSU rRNA". It matches the Rfam family "Bacterial small subunit ribosomal RNA", at positions 998 to 1382 of the family's 1533-position model. The record is from RNAcentral. Lineage: Bacteria; Pseudomonadati; Pseudomonadota; Betaproteobacteria; Burkholderiales; Alcaligenaceae.
CCGAAGAGAUUUGGCCGUGCUCGCAAGAGAACCGGAACACAGGUGCUGCAUGGCUGUCGUCAGCUCGUGUCGUGAGAUGUUGGGUUAAGUCCCGCAACGAGCGCAACCCUUGUCAUUAGUUGCUACGCAAGAGCACUCUAAUGAGACUGCCGGUGACAAACCGGAGGAAGGUGGGGAUGACGUCAAGUCCUCAUGGCCCUUAUGGGUAGGGCUUCACACGUCAUACAAUGGUCGGGACAGAGGGUCGCCAACCCGCGAGGGGGAGCCAAUCUCAGAAACCCGAUCGUAGUCCGGAUCGCAGUCUGCAACUCGACUGCGUGAAGUCGGAAUCGCUAGUAAUCGCGGAUCAGAAUGUCGCGGUGAAUACGUUCCCGGGUCUU